GUAAAUAGCCAGAGAUAGCAUUUAUCAUUAAAAAGAAGAUAGAAUAUAGCUGGUAAUUAAUUAGAUAGAGAAUUUACUGGAGGUAGAAAUAUGUGGAUUGUUUUAUUUUUAAAUAUGUAGACCCCACUUAUAAAAAUAUGAUAUUUUUCUAGUUGUAUAAUAAUAGACAUUUUACACUCAGUAGUGUGGAAAUUUUCCAGAGUAUAUGAGUUUAAUAGUAAUUGGCAUGUGUUAUUUUAGACAUUUUUUUUAGUACAACAUGUGAGGUUGAGAAUCGAACUUGCAACUGAAUUAGGUUAAUUUUGGCAGUUAUAUUUUGGACAAAAUAAGACAAUUUAAAAAAUAUUUAAUAUAACCUUGCUUUAAUUUGAUAGUGGGCUAUUUAGGAUUAGUAUUGGGCUUAUUGGGCUGCAAAGGCCACCAGUUAGGGCUUUAGUUUUAGAAGCCCAUUUAAAGCUUAAAAGAUCCGCAACCAAGGUCGCGUAUUCAACAAGCAAUCCGUUUCCUUUAAAUUCAUUACCGCCCGUUAUCAUCCUCUCCACUACCAUUCUUCUGCUCUGCCGUGAAAGUUUCCUUGCAGUCUGGUUGUGUACUUCUCUCCGACGAGGGUUGCCUUUAUCGUCUUCCUCAGGUUUAAUUUCUAGUGUUUUCUUUUUGCUUAAUCACAGUGUUGUUUCUUUUCGGAUUGGAAUGUGGCAGCUUAAAGUUUAAAACUGCUGCGCUGGCGUUUUUUCUUCUCGCGAGGAAGUAGCCUGAUUGUUGCGACAGAUUUGAGAGCGUAAGUCAAGAACCAGAUCAAACGCUGUCGAUAUUUGUAACAUUUUUCAAACGUUGGGGUGGCUCAUUUUGCAAGCAACUCAGUUAUCUUCAAAUUCAUUCUCCCGCUCGCCCAUUUCUUUAUUGACUCGAUCUCCUGUGUCCUGACCAAGUCAGUUUGCUUCUAUUGCGGUGGCUCUGAAACCAGGACGGCUGCAAAACGCCAGAAAAGCGUGAAUCUCGGUGGUGGGUAAUGUUUCGAACUGCAAUUCCCAACGAACUUCCGCCAGACGUUGCAGGAACUUACCGGCCUGAGAUUUGGUUACUCGCAGGUCCAGAUGGUGCUCAUACAAAAUGAAGUUCACUAAUGUUAAGCGUAUUCGAGCGUGAUCUGGCUUUUUUGAUUAGUCAAAAUGUGAUACUUGAUAACUUUAUGUGUGAAACUUGCUGAACAUCAUCGGGACACUAGUAUUCUAACAAGGUGCUCUUCAAACUAGGACUGACUUUCCUUAGAGGAUGAAGAUUCUUUCUCAAAGAGCAAUCACUUUUAAUGGGGCAUCAAUUCUUCUAUAUGAUGGUCCUACCUAUUGGAACUAGUUAUGAUAGACCUGAUAUUUGUCAGUAUAGCAGGGCAUCAAUUCUUCUAUAUGAUGAUGGUCCAACCAAUUUGGAAAUGAUCUGAUAGACAUGAUACUUCGCAUGAUGAAAAAGAGUUUGCAGUUAUAGGUAGUGUUGGUGAUAGAUGAGUGGAAGGCUUCGCUCCACUUGGCCUUGGCAAAUGGCUGAUAGUAGGCUCUUUGUUCUCAAAUCCAAAUAUUUAAGACGAUAUGCUCAGUGGCAGCUUAGCAUCGGUGGAUCGGGCGACUGAGAACAAUUCUGGAGUAGCUUGUAAAACUAGCUGCCGACUGAGAACAAUUCUGGAGUAGCUUGUAAAACUAGCUGCCGACUGAGAACAAUUCUGGAGUAGCUUGUAAAACUAGCUGUUGGAGAACUGUGUCGAUGUAGUGAUUGACUAUGAGAUUACAGCUCAGAAACCAAUCGACAAGCAUUGAUCAGAUUUGCGAAGUUGUGACUUCCACCCACCAUAGUUAAUUAAUUUUGUACCUAAUUAACUUCAAUCCGUAAUUUGUCAAAAGGUAAUUAUGGAUUGUAGUUAAUUAGGUAAAAAGUUAAUUAACUAUGGUUGGUGGGGUUUGUCCAUCUUGUGAGAACAACUUGGCAAAUCUGAUCAAUGCUUGUUUAUUGGUUUUUGGAAUGUAAUCGUCAUCUGCCUCCACCCACACGCUUCUCCAAUAGUCUCUCUUGCCCCUUUUCCACACUCUCCACAUUCAAUAAUACACCUUCGGUGAAUCAAUGGCAUCUUUAUUUUCCGUCUUUCAAUUAUAAAAA
This is a non-coding RNA of Momordica charantia (bitter melon), 2145 nucleotides long. NCBI's taxonomy places the organism in Eukaryota, Viridiplantae, Streptophyta, Magnoliopsida, Cucurbitales, Cucurbitaceae. The record is from RefSeq and is a predicted model, not a curated record.